RNAcentral lists this ribosomal RNA (585 nucleotides) under uncultured bacterium. RNAcentral's name for it is "bacterial SSU rRNA". It matches the Rfam family "Bacterial small subunit ribosomal RNA", at positions 338 to 916 of the family's 1533-position model. The record is from RNAcentral.
CCUACGGGAGGCAGCAGUGGGGAAUUUUGGACAAUGGGCGCAAGCCUGAUCCAGCAAUGCCGCGUGAGUGAAGAAGGCCUUCGGGUUGUAAAGCUCUUUUGUCAGGGAAGAAACGGCUGAGGCUAAUAUCCUCGGCUAAUGACGGUACCUGAAGAAUAAGCACCGGCUAACUACGUGCCAGCAGCCGCGGUAAUACGUAGGGUGCAAGCGUUAAUCGGAAUUACUGGGCGUAAAGCGUGCGCAGGCGGUUUUGUAAGUCUGUCGUGAAAGCCCCGGGCUUAACCUGGGAAUUGCGAUGGAGACUGCAAGGCUUGAAUCUGGCAGAGGGGGGUAGAAUUCCACGUGUAGCAGUGAAAUGCGUAGAGAUGUGGAGGAACACCGAUGGCGAAGGCAGCCCCCUGGGUCAAGAUUGACGCUCAUGCACGAAAGCGUGGGGAGCAAACAGGAUUAGAUACCCUGGUAGUCCACGCCCUAAACGAUGUCUACUAGUUGUCGGGUCUUAAUUGACUUGGUAACGCAGCUAACGCGUGAAGUAGACCGCCUGGGGAGUACGGUCGCAAGAUUAAAACUCAAAGGAAUUGACGG